This is a long non-coding RNA of Onychostoma macrolepis, 616 nucleotides long. RefSeq lists it as uncharacterized. The transcript has 3 exons. The record is from RefSeq and is a predicted model, not a curated record. Lineage: Eukaryota; Metazoa; Chordata; Actinopteri; Cypriniformes; Cyprinidae.
ACCCGGAUCUCCUCGGCACGGGCCAUCUCCUCCAGCUCCGGGCUGGUCUCCGGACACCAGUCGACCAUGAACUUGUCUCUGGCCUCGCACAGGUUGAUGGGCACCUCCUCGGGCUGCUGGCCGAACAGAGAGUCUGCAGGGAGACGAGGAGGAGAUGGGCUUAACGUCACAAACCUCCCAAAAGCAUCAGAAAACUAUGCUGACCGUAGCUUCACUGGUGACACUGUGAUUGAGUUAACAAUUGUUAACCAAAACAUUUCAGAACGACCCCUCUGAGAAAGAACUAGUCACUGGCUACAUCUGAUCAAGUCUUUGAAGAGCUAAACUCUUUGAUGUGGAACCGCAUGGUCUCACCGGCCAGGUCGUGUAUCAGGUCUUUGAUGAGGUGGCCGAUGAUGGCGUAGAGCGUCGCCACUAUGACGAUGGAGGCCAGGAUGAUGUAGAAGAUGUGAAUGGGCAGAUGGAUGGCGUCUCGAGCAGCAGCAAAAAGAGCAUCCAGUCUGAUAAAAACAUCUUCAAGACGGAGUGCAAACAUGAAAGCCAGAGUAAUGACGGCUAGCACAGACUCAUAGAGAUGUGAUGUAAUGAAGGCCGGAUGCUGUGUGUUGAUGGGGCU